AUUGAACGCUGGCGGCAGGCCUAACACAUGCAAGUCGAACGAGUGGCGGACGGGUGAGUAAUGUCUGGGCAACUGCCUGAUGGAGGGGGAUAACUACUGGAAACGGUAGCUAAUACCGCAUACCAUCAGAUGUGCCCAGAUGGGAUUAGCUGGUUGGUGGGGGAACGGCUCACCAAGGCGAUGAUCCCUAGCCGGUCUGAGCGGAGGACCAGCCACACGGGAACUGAGGCACGGGCCAGACUCCUACGGGAGGAAGCAGUGGGGAAUAUUGCGCAAGGGGGGCAAGCCUGAUGCAGCCAGGCGGCGUGUAUGAAGAGGGCCUUCGGGUUGUAAAGUACUUUAAGCGGGGAGGCGUUACCCGCAGAAGAAGCACCGGCUAACUCCGUGCCAGCAGCCGCGGUAAUAC
Molecule: ribosomal RNA, 406 nt
Filed under: uncultured bacterium
Lineage: Bacteria
Description: partial 16S ribosomal RNA
Rfam family: Bacterial small subunit ribosomal RNA
Source: RNAcentral